Molecule: ribosomal RNA, 330 nt
Filed under: uncultured bacterium
Lineage: Bacteria
Description: bacterial SSU rRNA
Rfam family: Bacterial small subunit ribosomal RNA
Source: RNAcentral
UUCGUAGGCGGUGUGGCAAGUCGGGAGUGAAAUCUCUGGGCUCAACUCAGAGGCUGCUUCCGAAACUGCUGUGCUUGAGUGUGAGAGAGGCUCGUGGAAUUGCAGGUGUAGCGGUGAAAUGCGUAGAUAUCUGCAGGAACACCCGUGGCGAAAGCGGCGAGCUGGAUCACUACUGACGCUGAGGAACGAAAGCUAGGGGGGCAAACAGGAUUAGAUACCCUGGUAGUCCUAGCCCUAAACGAUCAGGACUUGGGGUGCCGCCCGUUCGGGCGUCGUCCCGGAGCUAACGCGUUAAGUCCUGCACCUGGGGAGUACGGUCGCAAGACUGAA